This 395-nucleotide ribosomal RNA is filed under the name uncultured bacterium. RNAcentral describes it as "partial 16S ribosomal RNA". It matches the Rfam family "Bacterial small subunit ribosomal RNA", at positions 338 to 730 of the family's 1533-position model. The record is from RNAcentral.
CCUACGGGAGGCAGCAGUGAGGAAUAUUGGUCAAUGGACGCAAGUCUGAACCAGCCAUGCCGCGUGCAGGAAGACGGCUCUAUGAGUUGUAAACUGCUUUUGUACGAGGGUAAACGCAGAUACGUGUAUCUGUCUGAAAGUAUCGUACGAAUAAGGAUCGGCUAACUCCGUGCCAGCAGCCGCGGUAAUACGGAGGAUUCAAGCGUUAUCCGGAUUUAUUGGGGUUAAAGGGUGCGUAGGCGGUCGGAUAAGUUAGCGGUGAAAUCCCGAGGCUCAACUUCGGACUUGCCUCUGAUACUGUUCGGCUAGAGAGUAGUUGCGGUAGGCGGAAUGUAUGGUGUAGCGGUGAAAUGCUUAGAGAUCAUACAGAACACCGAUUGCGAAGGCAGCUUACC